RNAcentral lists this ribosomal RNA (327 nucleotides) under uncultured eukaryote. Its description in RNAcentral is "partial 18S ribosomal RNA". It matches the Rfam family "Eukaryotic small subunit ribosomal RNA", at positions 1470 to 1796 of the family's 1831-position model. The record is from RNAcentral.
CCCUUAGAUGUCCUGGGCCGCACGCGCGUUACACUGAUGCAUUCAACGAGCUUAUAACCUUGGCCGAGAGGCCUGGGCAAUCUUGUUAACGUGCAUCGUGAUAGGGAUAGAUUAUUGAAAUUAUUAAUCUUGAACGAGGAAUUCCUAGUAAACGCAGAUCAUCAAUCUGCAUUGAUUACGUCCCUGCCCUUUGUACACACCGCCCGUCGCACCUACCGAUUGAUGGUCCGGUGAAGCCUCGGGAUUGUGGUUCUUGCCGCUUUAUUGUGGCGUGACCGCGAGAACUUGUCUAAACCUUAUCAUCUAGAGGAAGGUGAAGUCGUAACA